GUCAAUAACCCGUGGAUAAAUCCACAGGCUUGAAAAAAGCCUUUGUUGACUAGCCUGAGUACCCUUGCAGUGCCAUAUGCGUUAAGGGUACUACGUUAUCUCUGUCAUCACACCUUCGGACAUAACACCAAAUCUGAAGCUCUGU
Molecule: small RNA, 145 nt
Filed under: uncultured Bulleidia sp.
Lineage: Bacteria; Bacillati; Bacillota; Erysipelotrichia; Erysipelotrichales; Erysipelotrichaceae
Description: HNH endonuclease-associated RNA and ORF (HEARO) RNA
Rfam family: HNH endonuclease-associated RNA and ORF (HEARO) RNA
Source: RNAcentral